AACCUGUACGACAAUGUCGGAGUUGCCUAUAUAGCUCAUCUACCAAUUCCUGCACACGAGUCGAAACCACUUAAUGUGGUCUGUACAACAGGCUGGGUAUAAAUAAAUACACUUAAGUGCUACGAUCACGUGAAGACUGUGCGAAGUAUUGCAAGUCACUUACGAGUCGGAACCACCUAAUAUGGUUUGUACGAUAGGCUGACACUUGCCUUGGAUCCAAGGUGAGCAUGUGGUGCAAGAGGUGAACGAUCACAUGAAGGCUAAGCCUCAGGCGGAGCACUAACACCGGGGUGCAGGACAAUGAGCUAUAAAUACAUCUCAACACAAUCAUACUCACUACCAUCAAUAUACUCACAUGAAGCUUACCGGGGCAUCCGCAACAUCAUUUGGCAUAACCACUUUACCGUCCCAACAUUCUUAAUCAGAACUAAACCCAGUGAUAGACUAGAAUAAAAUCAUGGUUAAUCUCUACAUUGUUAAUCAUCAUAACUUCUUUCCUUAAAGAAACCAAGUACCCUGUUAAAUUUGGAUUGUUUUAUGGCUGCAUCUAAUUGUCUUGUUAGACUGCCUACGUACCCUCAAACGGGGUCAAGGCAUUCAUAGUUCAACUUAGUACGUCAAAGCAUUCAUAGUCAUUAUAUGUAGGUAAUAUGCAUAUAGAUAUGCCAUAAUGCAAUCUAACACUCAACCAUAUCAUAGUAUCUUAAACUAUAUAAAUAUAUGUAUAACAUGGCAUAAAUAUGCAUAAAUCAAAUUAAAAGCGUUUGCAGAAUUAUCAAUCAUAUAUAUAUACGAUAAAAGAAAAAGACCCACUCACCUGAGGUCCGUGCUACAACUCCCUAGCAUGAAUAUCAAGACAUCAUCAUCGCCUAGAACAAUUAUCAAAUCACGUCUCAGAGUUUAUAACAAUAGAACACAUAGUUUACGUAAAACACAUCCUUACGUAUCCGGAAGAUCCACAUCACGGAUUUCCGAUCCGUUACUUCCAAAGAUUCACAUUAUAAUUCUAGAACAAUAUCCAAAAGUUUCGGGACAAUCCAACGGUCGGAUCUUCACCAAUUGCCAAAACCAAGUGGCGGUUAACGUUUUAUUUUACGAACUUACAAACCAAAUUCGGAAAGAUCCAUACGUCGGAUUCCUGAUCCGUAAGUUCCUAUAAUCCUCAAAUAUUACGAACAAUAACCUAUUAAAGUUUAAUGAUGAUCCAACGGUCGGAUCGUCGAUUCAUAUAAUGACCUAAUCACGUAUUGUAGAGAAUUUAGGUUCUAACGAUCAACUUGCGUCAUACUAUUGUUAGAACUGAAUUCAAGGCAUCUAAUUUAGCCUAAGAAUAGCAUUGAUGACCCACUGGCCACGUGCCACCGUGGGUGGCGGUCGGCCGUCCCGACUCGCCAGAAAAUCCAACUAUUUCCAAAAAUUCCUAAAUUUUGCAGAAAUGAAGAUCUCUAAGAGUAGAGCAAGUUUAAUACAUGUGAACAAGUCCAAUUUGGUCGGGAAAGGCUCCAAUUUCACUCAAACCCGUCGGAACCCUAAAAUGGGUGAACUUCGAUUCUCCUUCCUCAGUGUUCCAACGCCCCUACAACCAGUUGGGUCUUGUUCUUGGGUCCAAUGGGAGUUAGUUAAGGGUGGUGGUGGGUGGUGAAACUCGCCAAAUUGAAGGAAUCAUCGUCAAAACUUCACGGGUCACUUGCACGGCUUUGGCCUAAAAAAUCUUCAAAGUUAGAUGGAGAUAGAAGAUGGGGUAUUGUGGAAUAGGUUGCAGGUGAGGAAUGGGUGAAAAUGACCUUAAAAUUUGGUGGAAAUUGCUGGAAUUAAAAUCAGGUCGCUGUUGGUUUUGUCCGCAUGAAUGAGUGUCGACGGGAAGGGAUGGGGAAAAUUCCCCUUUUUCUCAUUGGCUAAUGCCUUUUCCUCAUUGGCUGAUGCCUUUUUCCUUCCUUAACAUUAAUUAGUCAGUUUUCCCACAAGGUGAGAGUUUAACACUUUAUAAUCUAAAAUAUAAAUAAUCAAAUUCAAACGUCCGUAAUUAUGCCGUUAUAAUCCGGACUCGCAAAUGGCUUUCGCCUAUGCGUUCGCACCAAAGAGUACUACACAAAUAAGUCUUAUGUUUCUCUAGACGAUGGUAAAUGCAAGUCAAAGUCCUUGCCUCUAGGUUAUUUUCGUCAAUUCCCUCGAUUAAAAUAAAUAAAAACGUAAAUUUAGGGACGGGUUGUCACAGGCUGGCCUAGAAUGGACAGAGGGAAGAGACGGCCUAUCUGACGUCAGCGUGACGUCAGAUAGCUUUUUAUAUUUUUGUUGCGCCAGGUGCGUGGAAAGGACGCUUGACUGGGCACGCAUCGCUGACAACA
This 2345-nucleotide long non-coding RNA is filed under the name Malus domestica (apple). RNAcentral's name for it is "long non-coding RNA (MDOM_LNC005625)". Lineage: Eukaryota; Viridiplantae; Streptophyta; Magnoliopsida; Rosales; Rosaceae. The record is from RNAcentral.